AUCUUGAACUUCUUUGCAGCCAACGACACACUUGACCUUGUCCUCUCCAAACAGUCUGAGUUCCUCCUUUAAAGCGCAAAGGAGCUUUGCCUAUCCUACGGUACAUUGUGUUCUAAUAGCGAGUUUCCAUGGCUGCUCACUAACAACACAGGGACCCUGGAAGGGAAGUGAGGAGAAUUUUCAAAACAGAGGACAAAAUCUUGCUGUGGAAUCAGAAAGAAUUAAUGCUCUCUGCUCACCUUGUGGAGUAUCUGUAUUUACCUGGGGCUCGCUGUAUCGUUCCUCUUCCCUCUGUAAAUCACUAAAGGGACAGGGAAGAAAGGGACAGGGAAGAGGACACAGAGGCUGUGUCACAAACUCAGACAUUGCUUAAGUGCUGAAAAUUUGUUACUGUCAAUAUUCAGAAAGCUGUUUUUUUAUAGCACUUCACAGCAAGCAAAGAGGAGCGUGAGCUACCAAACUGUUCAAAGCGACCAGAAGUUUCUGACAAACCAGCGUGACUAAACCCCUGCUUCACGAAGUGAAUCCUCUAAAUAUCCCUGGGCUCACAGUACUGAUUGGAUGAGGGAUAUUUCUUUUACCCUCAGGCCAACUUGCUGUGCCCUCCACUCCCCCCCCC
This 619-nucleotide long non-coding RNA is filed under the name Mus musculus (house mouse). Its description in RNAcentral is "long non-coding RNA chr3:108856109-108856728". Lineage: Eukaryota; Metazoa; Chordata; Mammalia; Rodentia; Muridae. The record is from RNAcentral.